Molecule: ribosomal RNA, 253 nt
Filed under: uncultured bacterium
Lineage: Bacteria
Description: partial 16S ribosomal RNA
Rfam family: Bacterial small subunit ribosomal RNA
Source: RNAcentral
UACGUAGGGUGCAAGCGUUAAUCGGAAUUACUGGGCGUAAAGCGUGCGCAGGCGGUUGUGCAAGACCGAUGUGAAAUCCCCGGGCUUAACCUGGGAAUGGCAUUGGUGACUGCACGGCUAGAGUGUGGCAGAGGGGGGUGGAAUUCCACGUGUAGCAGUGAAAUGCGUAGAGAUGUGGAGGAACACCGAUGGCGAAGGCAGCCCCCUGGGCUAACACUGACGCUCAUGCACGAAAGCGUGGGGAGCGAACCGG